RNAcentral lists this long non-coding RNA (822 nucleotides) under Olea europaea subsp. europaea. Lineage: Eukaryota; Viridiplantae; Streptophyta; Magnoliopsida; Lamiales; Oleaceae. The record is from RNAcentral.
AAAAAAUUGAAGAAAUAUAUAGAGAUAUAGAUUAUAGUUGAAAGAACAAUAUAUGAUUUGAUCCUGUGAGAACUCAUAAAGAAAUAAGAAAAGUAGAAGAUAUUAUAACCAAACAUACGGAUAUACAAGAAGAAAUUUCAAAAGGCUUAUUUAAAGGAUAUAUAACUAAAAAAGGACAACCUAUAAUUUUUGAAGAACUUUCAAUAUAUAGACAAUACUUAAAGGUGUUAGAAAGGCUGAAAAAUAUAGAUAUAGAACCUGAAUGAUAAGACCUUAAAAGAUAAAGGAUAUAUCUCAUAAAUAACCUUAGUAAGGAUAAAGUAGUACUUUUAACAAAUUAGGCUAUUAUGAAAAAGUGGGACAAUUCCCCGGCCAUUCUCAAAAUUAUCCCGGAAUUUAUUUGACAGUCCAAAAACGAUGUCGUUAAUUUGUUCUCAGUAGUCACUGGUCCGCUGCACAAGAAAAACAACACUUUUAUUUUUUAACCUAGAUUUUGCCAAAAUCAAUUAACCACUUAUUUCUGUCGAGUAUCAUCUCUGUAAGUUGAAUCUUUUCCUAAAUCAGGUUUUAUACUGAAAUUUUUGCUUUCUGAUGGAAUGCAUUUCAUCAUAUGUACAAAAUCCACAUACAUACGUACACAUAUAUCUAAGGUAUAUGAUUAAUUAUUUUAAUGUGGUAUUUGAGUUAGACAAUUGGAAUGGCGGCUGAACAACCAAAAGAGGCGACUGAGGACGCAAAGAUCGAUCUAUUCGAAGAUGAUGACGAGUUUGAGGAGUUUGAAAUUGGUCAAGUUAAAUCAUUUAUGCAUUUAUUAUUAUUAUU